AAUGCCAUACCCUUAGAGGGGCUGGGGACACAUAUUUAUAGCCCUAGGGGCUGCACUACACUGCACUACACACAACACUACACGCUGCAGCACACAGGUGCUGUCCUUUAGAUACUAAAGUGCAGUCAAAACAGCUGUGCUGCUACUGCUGUCCUCUGCUGUGCUGCUACUGCUGUCCUGCGCAGUCAAAAGACUGCAGCUGCAUGCUGUCCUGCUGCAACUGCUGCUGUCCUGCAGCAGUCAAAAGGUUGCUGCUGCUGCGCAGUCAAAAGACUGCUGCUACUGCUGUCCUGCGCAGUCAAAAGACUGCUGCAUGUUGUCCUGCUGCAACUGCUGCUGUCCUGCAGCAGUCAAAAACUGCAACUGCUGCUGACCACAUGACUUAUUCCAUCAUGUGCGACGUUGGUCUGGCCACGUCGUGGCUGUCGACAGUCCCUGUCCCAGUGGCCAAGCUUGCCGCAGUUGUGACAACCGUCGUCUCGUGCCGGCUUCUUGUUGCCGACGGCGCCGCCUUGGGCACCACCCUCAGCAUGUCCUCGCGCCCCGGCCUGGGCGCCUCCACGCGCCUUGCGCGUGUAAUACCCCAGGUGUUACGUGAACUAAAACUCUGAUAUGUCAUCAUAAGCAUUUGCAUUAACUUGCUUGUUACACCUAGAAUGCAUUCACCAGAUCAAAAUUUUACAAUAAGGUGAUGUUGUGUGGAGAGUAGAGGACCUAGUUAAGGACCUAAGCUAAACAGGAGUAGGUCAUCCCUUGAGCAUGUAACAAAUUGACUUGGAGUUUUGAAGUGCUAAAGGCAAUUCCUAGAGUCUAUAGAAAAUUUGUUUUCAAAGAUAGAUCAAGUGGAAGAAAUACUUGGACCGAAGGAUUAACUUCAAAAUCCUAAGGCUUGAAAACCUUGAUUGGAAUUGAGUGUAAGCAAACAACUCCUAAAUCAAGGAUACUUUGGACCUGAGUUCUAUAAGCCAAAGUUGAAUUUGAGAUUAAGGAGUAACUUUGCUUUAGGAGGAUGGAGAAGUUUGAUUUUGAUAUGUGGAUUACAAGUGGUGAAGUACUUAGGGUGGUUGAGUAUCUCUAAACUCUAAACUGGAGCCCAAAAGUUGAUUUGGAGAUUUAGCCACAUUUUGCAAGAGGUCAAAAUACCAAGGUGGUAGGAUUUCCAAAGUUGCACAAUUUCGUUAUUUGGAGAUUUCCAUGUUGUGUGGAGAAAUUUGGAGUAAUUUGUAAAAGUUCAGCUUAGUUUCAGUUUUGGAGUUCCUGAUAAUAGCAGCAACUAGGCAAUUUUAGUCCUUUGUAACUUUUGAUCUAGAACCAUUUUGAAGAUGAUCAUUAUAACAAAGUAAUAGAGCUACAUGAGGAGUAUAAGUUUGGUUAAGUCAUAUAGCUCUAAAACUAUUUGGAACUUUGAGUAAAACUGGUCCAAAGUAAAGCUGUCAAAAAUUGUGGAUUUCAGACUUAGUGAAAUUCAGAGCAUGAAUUUCAGCAUUUGGAGCAAGCUUUGGGCUAGUGUAGUUUGGAAUCCAAGAGGUUUUGGUCAAUGGUCACUAUAUCAAACUUGUAGAGGAGCUAUAGAAGUAUAAACUUUAUUAAGCAACUUGCCCCUAGAAACAUUUGGAACCCAGGCAAAAGAGUGGUUCUAAGUGGUGCUGCUAUAUUUCUGAAUUUUCAGAUUGGAAACAGUAACUGAAACUAAGUUUCAGUGUUUUGAUGGUUGUUUGAAAGCUGGUUUGUGGCUAGCCUAUAAAGUUUUAGGCUAUAGUAUUUGUAGAUGAAAUAAAGACCAUAUGAUGGUGAAUAAUUUUCAGUAAGUGGGUAUAGCAUGAUCCUACACGAAAAGUGGAGUAAAACUGGCUCAAAGUUGGACUGUCUAUGGCUGAAACUGAAUUUUAUUCAGUUAGUGAAAACUGAAUUUCAGUGAAAGUUUCUGAGUUUGGAGCCCAUUUGUGACCCAUUCAUGUGGAUUUCGACUAAGAAACACAUAGUAAAGUUGUAGGCCAUAACAAGGUGAAUAAGUUUCUUGAAGAAAGAUAGACUUGGUACUAUAUAAAUCUGGGAGUAAAGUACCCUCUAAUUUCCUUUGUCAGACUUGAGAGGUGCUGAUUUAGUUGACUGUUGAUGGCAGUUCUAGUGUGUUUUUACCCACCUUUGGAACCCUGUGGUAAUUAGUAUAAAGCGAGUUGAGUUAAAAAAAUUAUAGUAAAGUGAAAUACCAUAUAUAGGAGCACAAGUUUCCUUAAGUGGGUUUGGUCUGGUACUACACAAAGAAGGGAGUAAAAUGGUCCCAAACAUGUUCUGUCAGACUUGGUGAUAUGCUAUUUCAGACUUUGAAAUUGGAUUUUCAGUGUUGUUGCUCAACUUCAGUGCACCACAACUCUUGUUCUGAGCAUUUUAAGCCAUGGAAUGUUAUACCAAGUAGGAAGGGCUAUAAGUGAAGAAUAGUUUUGGUUAAGGAAGAUUGACCAGUUGACAUAUGGAAUUGUGAGAAACCAAGGUUUGAAAAGGGAGGUCUGCAAGGGAUCAGUGUUGUGCUGAUUCAGUUCACUGUUGGUUUGGUUUAGUGUUUUUCCUUGGAAUUCGGAGCUGUUUUGUGUCUGAUCCAAGAGGUACAAGACUAAGGUCCCAACGGCAAAUUGUUAGAGGGUUAGUUGGUGAACAAAGUUCAUUAAGGUUGAUUCCCUGUUGUGGUUUGAAACUGGGAGAAAUGAAGGAGUGAUGUUGUGAACUCAGUCAAGCAGUAGCAGUUUAGUGUGCUCCAAGAAUAUCUGAAGAAGAUAUUUUCAUCCUUACUGUGGCUGCACUUGUAUAUAUAUCGCUGAUGAUAUGGAUGGAGAACAUGGCUAAGCAUCUAGAGAUCUCUCCCAACUGAAAAUAUCCAGUUUUGGACUAGUUUGAACCUACUCAAAGAUGCAGCCCUAGCUGUUGGGUUCCUAACCACGUGGGUGGAUAAAGAUCAGCGCCCUGCUGUAUUUUGUUUGAUUAUGUGGAUUGAAAUAAAGGUACAGUGCAUAACUAGGCUCUAGGCGUCUCAUUUCUUUUCCCCUUGCUGAACGUAUUUCAGUUGGGCUUGUUUGUGCCUAUCCAUAAAUAGAGUCAUAUCUAUUUUAAUUGCUGUCUGCAAAACUAGACUAAAGGGAUAUUUGUGCUGGAGAGGUGUAUGUGCAUGAUUGCGAUGUGUGUUUGAGCUCACAUCGUGCUGGCACCCUGAGAAUUCUUCAUCACAGUGACAUAGACAGGUCCAGCGAACCUGCCCCAGCCCUAUCCCUUACUUAAGUGCUGGUCCAUGGAGCCCUGUUGUCUCGAGCUUUAGCUGGUUCCUUGGGCAUCUCUGUGGUAGUGUGUGCAGGCCUGAGCUCGUCUCCCUAGCCUCCAAGUCAGCUUUGUUCAGUUCAUCAAGUGCCACUCCAUUGUCUGGUGACCACAGCAAUCAUCCUUCCACCUCGCUGUGGCCAGAGUAUCUCGAGAAGUUUGUUACCCAGGUGAGCCUUGUUUGGUAAUCUCCCUGAAUUAGUGAAGCUCACCGAACUGGGUUUCCUAAUUCUACUGCUGUGUGCUGCUCUGAACGGAGUUGCGCCGCCGCAGACCGGAGCCGUGAGCAGCCUCUACGUCGACCGAACAACUCACGCUUUCUCCGGCCGAGUCCUCGCAAGCACCGACAACUAGGUAGAGAAGGUGGCCCUUCGGAUCAGCAGGGGCAGAUCCGACUCGGGGCUGCAGGAGCAAGUCCCCUUACCCGCUGGAGCUCCACGGAGUUUAUUGAGAGGCAGGACAGAGGGAAAAGAAAGGUUCUGGAGAUGAGGAAGACAGAUAACCCCUUGAGAUUCAUUUUUGCAUUAUGCAUCGACUUAUGUGUCAGUAAUAAAUUUUAAGAAAACUUUAAAACAUCUACACCAACUUUGCACGCAUUUGCAAUAGUCAGUGUUUUUAACGGAUAUUCAAUCAUAAAA
Molecule: long non-coding RNA, 3944 nt
Organism: Zea mays
Lineage: Eukaryota; Viridiplantae; Streptophyta; Magnoliopsida; Poales; Poaceae
Exons: 2
Source: RefSeq, a predicted model, not a curated record